This 508-nucleotide long non-coding RNA is filed under the name Calidris pugnax (ruff). RNAcentral's name for it is "lncRNA (ENSCPUG00000001470.1)". The record is from RNAcentral. Lineage: Eukaryota; Metazoa; Chordata; Aves; Charadriiformes; Scolopacidae.
UCCAGAUCUGCCCCAGCUUGCUUGUGAAGGGUCAGGAGGUCUUGCUGCUCCUGCCUUUGCUGGAGGCGAUGUCAGCGAAGCUCUUUCGGGUAUGACUGGGACUGAUCAUGUUCCUGGUGUCACACACUGCCCGUGAUGGGCGGCAGAGCCAGUUUUUCUGCUCUGAAAGCGGGGCUGGGGAGGGGACCGCAACACUCAAAUACCCAGAUCCCUGGGAGCUGCCAGCCAGGCAUCGAGGAGGCCGCUUGCCUUUUCCAGCUCCAGGUGUGACGGUCUUGUGCACCAGGCCUCUUUGUCUUCUCUGAAAUGUCAGCAAUCCUGAAAUGGUUUGGACGGGAAGAUAAGGAGAAAGAGGACAAGGAAAAGGACAAGGAAAAAGAGAAGGAAGAAGAGAAGGAAAAGACUGAGGGAGAAAAAGAGAAGGAGAAGGAAGAAAAACAGAAGGAGAAGAAGCAGGAGAAGGAGCAGGAGCAGGUAAAGGAAAAGACUAAGGAAGAAAAACAGAAGG